RNAcentral lists this ribosomal RNA (252 nucleotides) under uncultured bacterium. RNAcentral's name for it is "partial 16S ribosomal RNA". It matches the Rfam family "Bacterial small subunit ribosomal RNA", at positions 524 to 776 of the family's 1533-position model. The record is from RNAcentral.
UACGUAGGUCCCGAGCGUUGUCCGGAUUUAUUGGGCGUAAAGCGAGCGCAGGUGGUUUAUUAAGUCUGGUGUAAAAGGCAGUGGCUCAACCAUUGUAUGCAUUGGAAACUGGUAGACUUGAGUGCAGGAGAGGAGAGUGGAAUUCCAUGUGUAGCGGUGAAAUGCGUAGAUAUAUGGAGGAACACCGGUGGCGAAAGCGGCUCUCUGGCCUGUAACUGGCACUGAGGCUCGAAAGCGUGGGGAGCAAACAGG